AUUGAACGCUGGCGGCAUGCCUUACACAUGCAAGUCGAACGGCAGCACGGGGGCAACCCUGGUGGCGAGUGGCGAACGGGUGAGUAAUGCAUCGGAACGUAUCCUGGAGUGGGGGAUAACGUAGCGAAAGUUACGCUAAUACCGCAUAUUCUCUGAGGAGGAAAGUGGGGGACCGCAAGGCCUCACGCUUUAGGAGCGGCCGAUGUCGGAUUAGCUAGUUGGUGGGGUAAAGGCCCACCAAGGCGACGAUCGAUAGCUGGUCUGAGAGGAUGAUCAGCCACACUGGAACUGAGACACGGUCCAGACUCCUACGGGAGGCAGCAGUAGGGAAUAUUGGACAAUGGGGGCAACCCUGAUCCAGCCAUGCCGCGUGAGUGAAGAAGGCCCUCGGGUUGUAAAGCUCUUUUGUCCGGAAAGAAAGCAAUCGGUUAAUACCCGGUUGUUCUGACGGUACCGGAAGAAUAAGCACCGGCUAACUUCGUGCCAGCAGCCGCGGUAAU
RNAcentral lists this ribosomal RNA (500 nucleotides) under uncultured bacterium. Its description in RNAcentral is "bacterial SSU rRNA". It matches the Rfam family "Bacterial small subunit ribosomal RNA", at positions 30 to 524 of the family's 1533-position model. The record is from RNAcentral.